UUUACUAAGAGUUUUGUUAGAAUAUUAUUUGUUAAUCUAGAUUAAUUUUAAAAGUAUUGGCGGUAUAAAGUUAAAUUCUGAGGAACUUGUUUAAUUAAAUUGAUAUUACACAUUAAAUUUUACUUAUAAGUUUUUUUAUGUAUUGCUGUUUUAUUAAUUUUUUGUUAGAUUAAUUAAUUAAAAUUAAUAUUAAUUUAAAAUAAUUCAAGUCAAAAUGUAGAUUUUUAUAAGGUUAAAUGAGUUACAAUUAUAUUAAGAUAUGAAACUGUAAAGUUAAUUGAAAUUAAUUGAUGAAUAAGGUUGGAUUAGGAAGUAAAGAAAAAAUAGUUAGUUUUUUUGAUAAUUUUUACUUUUAUGU
This 358-nucleotide ribosomal RNA is filed under the name Draculoides sp. SCH002. Its description in RNAcentral is "partial small subunit ribosomal RNA". Lineage: Eukaryota; Metazoa; Arthropoda; Arachnida; Schizomida; Hubbardiidae. The record is from RNAcentral.